GUGGGGAAUAUUGGACAAUGGGCGAAAGCCUGAUCCAGCCAUGCCGCGUGUGUGAAGAAGGUCUUCGGAUUGUAAAGCACUUUAAGUUGGGAGGAAGGGUAGUAACCUAAUACGUUGCUACUUUGACGUUACCGACAGAAUAAGCACCGGCUAACUUCGUGCCAGCAGCCGCGGUAAUACGAAGGGUGCAAGCGUUAAUCGGAAUUACUGGGCGUAAAGCGCGCGUAGGUGGUUCAGUAAGUUGGAAGGGAAAUCCCCGGGCUCAACCUGGGAACUGCUUUCAAAACUGCUGAGCUAGAGUACGGUAGAGGGUGGUGGAAUUUCCUGUGUAGCGGUGAAAUGCGUAGAUAUAGGAAGGAACACCAGUGGCGAAGGCGACCACCUGGACUGAUACUGACACUGAGGUGCGAAAGCGUGGGGAGCAAACAGGAUUAGAAACCCUUGUAGUCC
Molecule: ribosomal RNA, 450 nt
Filed under: uncultured bacterium
Lineage: Bacteria
Description: bacterial SSU rRNA
Rfam family: Bacterial small subunit ribosomal RNA
Source: RNAcentral